AGAGACUUAGGAUAAUAAAGACCAAGGGCCUUCAAAGCCCUAAGUAAGGGUGAAACUCCCUUAGUCCCUG
RNAcentral lists this transfer RNA (70 nucleotides) under Cynoglossus melampetalus. RNAcentral describes it as "tRNA-Trp". It matches the Rfam family "tRNA". Rfam says of the family: Transfer RNA (tRNA) molecules are approximately 80 nucleotides in length. Their secondary structure includes four short double-helical elements and three loops (D, anti-codon, and T loops). Further hydrogen bonds mediate the characteristic L-shaped molecular structure. tRNAs have two regions of fundamental functional importance: the anti-codon, which is responsible for specific mRNA codon recognition, and the 3' end, to which the tRNAs corresponding amino acid is attached (by aminoacyl-tRNA synthetases). tRNAs cope with the degeneracy of the genetic code in two manners: having more than one tRNA (with a specific anti-codon) for a particular amino acid; and 'wobble' base-pairing, i.e. permitting non-standard base-pairing at the 3rd anti-codon position. The record is from RNAcentral. Lineage: Eukaryota; Metazoa; Chordata; Actinopteri; Pleuronectiformes; Cynoglossidae.